RNAcentral lists this ribosomal RNA (476 nucleotides) under Formosatettix yuanbaoshanensis. RNAcentral's name for it is "partial 16S ribosomal RNA". It matches the Rfam family "Bacterial large subunit ribosomal RNA", at positions 1860 to 2597 of the family's 2925-position model. The record is from RNAcentral. Lineage: Eukaryota; Metazoa; Arthropoda; Insecta; Orthoptera; Tetrigidae.
UGCUCACUGAUAAUUUAAAGAGCUGCAGUAUAUUGACUGUACAAAGGUAGCAUAAUCACUAGUAUAUUAAUUGUGUACUGGAAUGAAAGGUUGAACGAGAAAUACACUGUCUCUUAUUAAUUUAUAUAAUUUUACUUUCUAGUAAAAAGGCUGGAAUUUUCUUUUUGGACGAUAAGACCCUAUAGAACUUAAAUUAUGGCAAUUAAAUAGUUUAGGAUAUUUUUUUGAUUUUAGUUGAGUUAAUUUUAAUUGGGGCGAUUUGAAUAAUAGAUAAACUAUUCAUUAUUAUUAUCAUUGAUUUAUGUUUUUCAUGAUCCUUUAUUAUGGAUUUAAAGAUCAAGUUACCUUAGGGAUAACAGCACAAUUAUCUUAGAGAGUUCUUAUUGACAAGAUAGAUUGUGACCUCGAUGUUGGAUUAAGAUUAUUAGUUGGGUGUAGGGGCUCAAUUAAUUGGUCUGUUCGACCAUUAAAAUCUU